AGACACAACCUGGCACCUGACAGCAGGGAGACUGAGACCGAGCUCGGCUCCCCGGAUCCUGAGAGAAUGUAAGUAAAGAAGCAGGAAGCUGAGACGCUCAAAAUUAGUAGAAAAAAAAUACAUAACAUUUAAAUAAAAUCAAAAUUAAAAAAAUAAAGGCUAAAAUGCAAGUAAACAUGGAAAGCAAACACAUCGGUAACAUCGUUCUCAGAGCAAAAGACAAAGAGAGAAUUUAAAAAUAAGCAAAAAUUACAGAGAACCAAUCCUAGAAAGAAGAAAUUACAAACCUUGCUAAAAGAUGCAAUCCUACAAUUGUGAUAUCUCUGUCAGAUCUAAACCGGUACAUGUUACACCUAAGUCUACAUUUCCUACGAAAACAAAAACAAAAACAAACAACACCAACAAAAAAAAGCAGUCACGGUUAAACCUUUUUUACUACGACUUAAAAAUCGCAGUAGCUGGUCUAUUCAGACUUGGUCCACAAGAGGAAAAAGUCGCGUUCGGCAGGACUUGCUAUUGCCAAACGGAGCUUGGUAACCAGAAAUCGCGUUUGCGGACAUUUCCUGACUUCCAUGGGAGUUUAAAAUACACACAAGCUUAGCUAAGGUGGGACUCAAUAUUGCGAAAACAAACUUGGUAUAAGAGCUCCCAGGCACUGCUAAACUGAUCAUCGGUAAACCUAAAAAAAAUCGCAUUCGCGGGUACCCAGAUUUCUUUUUCUUUUCUUUUUUUUUUUUUUUUUUUUUUUGAGUUGGAGUCUCGCUCUGUCGCCCAAGCUGGAGUGCAGUGGCGCGAUCUCGGCUCACUGCAAGCUCCGCCUCCCGGAUUCACGCCAUUCUCCUGCCUCAGCCUCCCGAGGAGCUGGGACUACAGGGACCCGCCACCACGCCCGGCUAAUUUUUUUGUAUUUUUAGUAGAGACGGGGUUUCACCGUGUUAGCCAGGAUGGUCUCGAUCUCCUGACCUCCUGAUCCGCCCGCCUCGGCCUCCCAAAGUGCUGGGAUUACAGGCGUGAGCCACCGCGCCCGGCCGGUACUCCGAAGCCCUCAGAUCGGCGACCUGGGCGCUGUAGGCACCGAGAAAAUACAGGCACCGAGCCAGAAGCAGUGCCGCAACCAAGAGACCUCGGCUUGGCGAAAUGGCGGCGUCUGGAGCCUGCGAGUGACGCCAGCUGGUGGGGCUGUCAAGGAGAACAUUCGUUACGGCGCAACCAACGGUACUGUCACCAAGAAACCGUCGUCUCUGAGAAAAAAAGAGACGUUCGGCCGCCGAGAAACUCCGUACAAGUGCUGUGACAGAAAAACCGCCGGCUCCGCGCAGCGGCAAAAGAGCCAACGGGAACGCCGGGUGCUGCGACCAUGACCCCGGCACUGGAGGACGUGGGAUGGAGAAUGGGACACACGGAGCGAGAAGGGAAACGUUUCGUGCAGACCAACUAGCGCCGCCGCCACCGGAAAACUGACUCGCCAGUGCUGCCAAUGAAGUGCGUGUGAGAAACCGAUGACUGGUGGGAGGAGCAGCGCUGGGCGCUGGACCCGCGAGUGUGAGAAUCUGGCGGCGCUAGGACCCUUCAGGCGCGGGCACGAGGCGAAACCCAGCGCUGUUGCCAAAGACAAAUGCGCGUUCUUUUGGGCGCCAUCAGCGGUGCAGCCAGUGAUCACUCCCAGGCUCUGAGAAACUAGAGAUGUCAGCCACAAACCCUCCGUUCAGGGAAAGUUUGCGGCGCCGUGACGGAUCGACUGGCACUGGGUGCAACAUUGUCUUGUGGCCUAGAGACUAGAAUAUAAAAACAAAAACCAAAUACAAAACUGCUGCUGGCAUUACUCCUACUCUCCCCCCUCAAGUCAGUGGCUUCAGGCUUAAGAAAACCUGUAUUUUUCUUGGCUGUGCCAUAAUCCGUAAUUACCGAGGCCCCCAGCGACCCACCCAGUGUGAUUCGCAGAGGGAAAGGAGCUGGAAUAAGGACCGUGAAUGGGGCGGAUGUGGCUCGUCCUGGGAGAGAGCUAAAGCUUAUGCUGGUCGCAAACAGCAUUACAUUGCAGGAAACUGCUCUUCCAAUGGCCGUGGCUGGGUCCUUCCACACCAUCCCUCUGCCCUAGACCUUUGUCCCCGUUCAGAGCCAUCAGAGAUUCUAGGAGAGCUGUCGACAACCGCAUCUCUUCGGAACUUGGAAACUCUAGGUUCAAGAUCUCCGUGGAGAAUGAAAGGCACAGUCGCCUGACCCGGGCAUCAGGCUUGCCCCGCACAUCAAGUCCCUCCCCUACUGGAUGGAACUCUGUGGCAAUCGCUCCUUAUUCUGAUGGUUCACUCUGUCAGAUAUCCUCGAUAUUUGGGGAUAGUAGUUCAAAAACAGCCGGGGAGGAAAAUGGGCUGAAAGAUUCCAGCGUUGGAUGUAGAAUUGACAGCGAGACAUACACCUCCUCUCUAAGCCCAGAGAAAAGCUCAAGUUGUGGUUCUCUGUCUCUAGCAGCAUGAUCUUCAAAAUGCAUCAUUGAUUUCUAUCUUCUGGGAAAUGCAAUGCAGGUGAACUUGUAAGUGCUCAAAUCCUCCAUCUCCUCACUUUUCAGACUGAGGCCUUUUUUUUUUUAAAUCUGAGAAGAAAUAUGGGACUGCCACUGCUCAGUAGGAAAAUGUCCUUUCCCACAAGCAUUUAUAUUUUAAUAAAAAUCUGCACUUUGUGAGUUGAGCCCCCUCAAAGAGACCUACAAACCCUGCCACAAAUAUCUCCAACCACACUCAUCAUUUCCGAUUUUCAUCACUGCUGCUCCUGUGCAAACCAAACUAUCCUUUCCCUGGGGCAUCCUAGGUAGAGGCCAUGCCAGGACAAAGGCAGAGAUAUGCCUGCCUGGUAAGGAAAUCCAUUUUGGCCUUGUAAUUCUCACCCUCUCCCAAGAUGUUUGCCUCAAUAUCUCCUUCCCACCUUACCCCGUCUUCAGCUAGCCAAAACAUUCCCUGGUAUUUGAGGCCCUUCCAAUUUCCUCCUGGUUUUGUGGGUGGGAGAAUAAAGAAAAAACUGCACUGUUCCCACCCACAUAGUUACAGCCACUUUAUCAAACGGAAGAGCAGUCUGGAGCCAUUGCAAAACAAAAUACCUGCCACAACUCCUCUCUUCUCAUUUCGACUCCAGCUUUUCAUCUUAGCAAAAAAGUUGCAAUCAGCACCCCCUAGACGGAAGGAAUAUCCUGUCUUAAUGGGAGUCCAUAGGAGGCUGCAGGCUGCUCCCCUACAGAGACUAACAUCAAGGUAGUUGCAGAAUUCAGAUUCUAAUUACAGUGUGGUUGGAGGCGGGGUGGAUUCCAGGGAGGUCAGGAAGAGGUAAAGUACAGAAUUGAGCUCCUUGGGAGGAGGUCAUAGGAACUUUGCAGUAUGAAAAUGGCUAGAGAUUGGGUAGAAUUGAGCAGGCUGGCAAUGGCAGUUUUGUGUGGGUGGUAGGACCUAGGAUUCAAACUUGAGGGCAAAUUGUGGAGCACAUACGACAAAUGAUGUAGAGCCUUUCCUAUUUCCCUUCCUGCUGUGUCAUCCGAAACAAUAAAUAAUAAAGAAUUAACAAAGACUGAUAUUUUUGUUCAAUUUCAUGAAGAAAAAUCUCAUCAAACUAAGAUAACUAUAAUGACAAAUCUUGUUAGAAUAUUAUUAACCAAAUGAAAGUGACACAAAACAGAAAAACGGUGGGAGGUGGGAGGGCCAAGAAAGAAAAAGUCCCCAACACUCAGGUGGUGUGUACAGGUGAAUCUUCUGGUCAGUUGGUAUGUUGCAGAAAGCUGGGCAACUAAUAAAUUAGGAGGCAGGAAUUCAUAUGAAUACUUUCCUGAUACAGAGAAACUCUUGGUUUUAACAAUCUACUUCUUUGUCAGGUAUUGGUUCUUGAUUUUAGGCUCAGAAAAGAUGGUAACAGUUAUAACUGUAGUAGAGCAGGUAAAAACAAAGAUCAUGCAGGAGUCUAGACAGAAAGUAAAAGGCAAAAAUGUCCCAGGGUAAGUAAUCUAGAGUAAGAAAGUGAAGAAUUCUGCUUGGUGCCAACGGAGGGCUCCACCAUGCCUCUGGUUCACCUACAAAAAAUGAACCAUUUGCUGUUGGUCUCUGGGAUUGAAGAUUCACCCUCCCAAUUUCCUGCCUGUCCUAAGCUUACCUGUAACUUAGAGGGUUUUGUGUCUGUUUUUUUGUUUGUUUUGUCUGUUUGUUUUGUAAAACACUCUCUACAAAUGUUUGAUAGAUUAUAAACCGCAGGAUCCACUAGACCCUGCAAGGUGCAGGGGAGCCCUGUGACUACCACUCCAAUGCACCUCCACACAUGUUCUUCCUCCUAGUUCCUCCACAGAAUUUCUUCUUCCUGGUUCCAUUUGCUGUAGUAAUUUGGGGCUGUAUUCACUGACAAGUUCCAAAAGUUUACCCAAUUUUGGUGACCGAUAAACUCUUGACUAACAAUUAUGUGUGUGUGUUUGUCUUUCCUGUAGGAGGAAAUCAGUGGUGCUUCAGGAUAUUGUGAAUUUGGUCUUCUGAAAGCAGAAUUCUGAUUUAACAGUAUAAUGGAAUUCGUGAACGUCAUGAUGCUAAUUUGAACCAACAAGCACCCUUGUGAGAGGAAUCUGCUUUUCCUCAAGUCUGAAGAACACCAGGAGAAUCUUUCUGUAUGGAGUUACCAGGAAUCCUCUGCUAAGGAAAGUGAAAGGGAAGAUGCAAUUUCUCCUGGGAAGGGGGGAUGCUGAUGUAGAGGGUGACAAGUAAUAUGCCAUGAAGGAUUCAGUCACCUGGUUAGAUUUAGAGUUAGAGUUAUGGUUAAGGAAGAAGGAAGGAAAAAAGGCAGAAGAGGAAGAAAGGAAGCAAGAAAAGAUAAAAUUUAUUCUAAGAUAAAAUUUGUGAAUUUUGCUAAACUA
RNAcentral lists this long non-coding RNA (4873 nucleotides) under Homo sapiens (human). RNAcentral's name for it is "HSALNT0326301". Lineage: Eukaryota; Metazoa; Chordata; Mammalia; Primates; Hominidae. The record is from RNAcentral.